Molecule: ribosomal RNA, 466 nt
Filed under: uncultured bacterium
Lineage: Bacteria
Description: partial 16S ribosomal RNA
Rfam family: Bacterial small subunit ribosomal RNA
Source: RNAcentral
CGACCGCUGGCGGCGUGCUUAACACAUGCACGUCGAACGGAAAGGCCCUGCUUUUGUGGGGUGCUCGAGUGGCGAACGGGUGAGUAACACGUGAGUAACCUGCCCUUGACUUUGGGAUAACUUCAGGAAACUGGGGCUAAUACCGGAUAGGAGCUCCUGCUGCAUGGUGGGGGUUGGAAAGUUUCGGCGGGUGGGGAUGGACUCGCGGCUUAUCAGCUUGUUGGUGGGGUAGUGGCUUACCAAGGCUUUGACGGGUAGCCGGCCUGAGAGGGUGACCGGCCACAUUGGGACUGAGAUACGGCCCAGACUCCUACGGGAGGCAGCAGUGGGGAAUAUUGCACAAUGGGCGGAAGCCUGAUGCAGCAACGCCGCGUGCGGGAUGACGGCCUUCGGGUUGUAAACCGCUUUCGCCUGUGACGAAGCGUGAGUGACGGUAAUGGGUAAAGAAGCACCGGCUAACUACGUG